This is a non-coding RNA of Rattus norvegicus (Norway rat), 2814 nucleotides long. Lineage: Eukaryota; Metazoa; Chordata; Mammalia; Rodentia; Muridae. The record is from RefSeq and is a predicted model, not a curated record.
UAUUAAAGCAGAUAUCUUGAUUGAGAGUAAUAAGGAAACCAAAUAGAGAGAAUGUGAGUGAGAAACUGAGAAGCUAGGAGAGUCACUGCAAGUCAAUUUCAGAGAGAAAGUGAAGAAGCGAGAUAGAGAAAGAGUACAUAAGAAGUCCAUUCAUCUAAUGUGGAUGAGAAUCUUAUAUGAUAUUUGAAUCGGUUCUCAUCGAAGGCAGAGUAGGAAUAAUAGGUGUAGUAUGUUAUGAUUAUGGAGGGUGCUCCGAUUGUGGCCAAAGCUAUUAAGAUUCUGGUGGUUUCCAUGGGAAGAGUAAGGCCUGAUUUUCUCUGUCAUAUCCGGCUGAACUGAGAUUUACUUAUUUUUGUAGACAACUUCCAUUAAGCCAUGUUGUUGGUCUCAUUCUUUUGUGUACCUCGUGCCAAUUUCUUUGGAUGGUUCUCAAGUGAUGUAUAUACCACUGUAGUUUUCGUUAUCAGAUAUUGACUUCGUCCCAUCUUAAGAACUUUGUUGCAUGGUAACCUCCAGGAAUUCGGUGAUAGAAUUGGGAAAAUUAUGUCCCCAACAGUUCCUUGGAGGAAAAAUAUCUCUGAUAUGGAUUGUGAGGGCAAAUUUCUAGAGGACGGAAGGAGUGCUGAGAGAGCCCAAGUGUUCGAUAAAUUAAGAACUAACAACAAUGCAUCACAGUCUCCAUGAUUUGCAAGGAAUCCAAUAAAGUGGGGGAAUGUGCUAUUUGCUUUACUUUCAGGGACAGAGUCCCUGUCUCAUACCGGACAAGCACGGCUUGGAGAGGAACUGAGUAUGGAACAUCAGAUGAUGUUGGAAGAAGCCUAACAUCGCCUGCCCUGAUGUCAUCAGUUGAAGCUCUCUUGCCUGAGAAUACGUGAAGUGAAAGGGACAGAGUCCCUGUCUCAUACCGGACAAGCACCAUUUGGAGAGGAACUGAGUAUGGAACAUCAGAUGAAGUUGGAAGAAGCCUAACAUCGCCUGCCCUGAAGUCCUCAGUUGAAGCUCUCUUGCCUGAGGAUACCUGAAGUGAAACGGACAGAGUCCCUGUCUCAUACCGGACAAGCACGGCUUGGAGAGGAACUGAGUAUGGAACAUCAGAUGAAGUUGGAAGAAGCCUAACAUCGCCUGCCCUGAAGUCCUCAGUUGAAGCUCUCUUGCCUGAGGAUACCUGAAGUGAAAGGUAAGAAACACUUGACUUUCCAAAGGAACUCAAAGUACUCAGGUGUUGAUGGAGCUCGCAGGAGUUCCCAAACUUGAAUCAUGAUCCUUUGGGACCUGGUUCAGGCUCACUGCCUGUGGCUACUCCUGUGAUUGGAGAAUAGGCCCAUUGGUUCGUGGUAAAGGAUGUGAAUGUCUUGAAUUCUGUUUGCUCACCAAACCUGAUCUAUUUUGAGUAUACUAAGUGUCAUGGCAGGGGGUACACCAGCGUGCUUGGAUCGAUGAUGAUUUCCAAUAAAACAUUCCUUGGAAAGCUGAACAAAAUGAGUGAAAACUCAAUACCGCCACUGUCAUCGUGACUGAAGUCCAGCACCUGGGAUCACAAAUGUCACUGAGGGACUCACAUGGCCUCCAUUCACCUUGCGAGACUUGGAUCCAGUGAGAGAGCCUUCAGAAUGUUCUUUGCUUGCCUAAAUCACCAGAAAUCAUGGCCUAAAUCAAGGCUUCACCUUUUGCUCUAAUGAUAACAUGCUUUCCGGUUGAGGAGAUCAUUGUCAGUAUCUUGGAAGUUAGCCCUACCAACUCCAUCAGCAAUAAUGUAUAGUAGGUUGUGAGGCAAAUGUAAGUUUAGCGGGGGCAGCAUAGUUCAACAAUGUACACUGGAAUGUCAGGAAAUGUGUUUCUGUCCGUGUCUGAAUCCUUCGCAUGAAUGAUAACCCUUCUGUUUCAUAAAACAGAGAUACAUGAUGGGAAGGUUACAGGCGACAUGUGGAAUGAGGCAGUAGCAAUUCUCAGGAACUAUGGGAAUGUGGACUCUUCCUGUGUGAAAACAAAGCUCUGUUUUCUUGAAAGACUGAUUGUGGCCAUGGCAAUUAGGUUGGAAAAAGAGCCUUGGAAUUUAAAAGGUUGGCAUGUAGCCUUCUUGUUGGUGUAUUCUAGAAGUGCAUGCUUUCAAAUGUCCCAGGAUUCAUACCACCUUCAUGGAUGUAUGGAGAACACCAAUUUUAAUCCUAGUUUCUAUGUUUAUUGUUGGGACAUUUUUUGUCAGUCUAUCCGGGUAGUUUGCCACUAGUUCUUAUGGAUUGACUGUACCAAAAUGGUCUGGACAUACAUCUCCUCCUCUUCUAGGAUCUAAGAAUGUGAGCAUGCAAGUUUGUUUCUUACACAAACUCCUUCUAGGAAUUUUAUAUUUUGGUAUGGCCGUAGAAGAUAGGCAUGGAGUGUCUGCGGGAUUAUCAUUUCUUAUGGUCUUGAUGUGGCCUUGCUGAAGGUUAACUUGGCAUUCUGGCUAUGUGUUUUGGGGCUGAUGGUAGUCCUGAUAUCUUAGACAUUGUUCUUUUCUCCAAGCAAAUAUCAACAAGAAAUUGUGUUUCCAUUUGAUUAUGAAAGUGAGCUGUAUGCUUAGGAUCAUGCUGUUGAUAAUAACAUAUAUCUCAGUGCCUACAGGUUAUGCUUGUGUUUGGUGACCGUAGAGGGUUUGAACAGACACUUUCUCUGUGGUGAUCAUUGUCAGAUAUCACAGCAAUAGCACUCACAGGAAUUUAGUACCAGUCAAAACCUGAAUAGGAGAUAUAUGAGCAUGGACAGAGACAGAGAGAAAGAACAAUUGUUGAAGAGGCUAAGCAUGUGUGAGACAGAGGAAGUCAGUGAGAGACAGAA